CCUACGGGAGGCAGCAGUGGGGGAUAUUGCACAAUGGGGGGAACCCUGAUGCAGCGACGCCGCGUGGGUGAAGAAGCGCCUCGGCGCGUAAAGCCCUGUCAGCAGGGAAGAAAAUGACGGUACCUGAAGAAGAAGCCCCGGCUAACUACGUGCCAGGAGCCGGGGGAAUACGGAGGGGGCAACCGUUAUCCGGAUUUAAUGGGUGUAAAGGGGGCGCAGACGGCGAUGCAAGCGAGGAGUGAAAGCCCGGGGCCCAACCCCGGGACUGCGCUUGGAACUGCGUGGCUGGAGUGGAGGAGGGGCAUGCGGAAUGCCUGGUGUAGCGGUGAAAUGCGUAGAUAUCAGGAGGAACACCGAUGGCGAAGGCGGCCUGCUGGACUGCAACUGACGUUGAGGCCCGAAAGCGUGGGGAGCAAACAGGAUUAGAUACCCCUGUAGUC
This 440-nucleotide ribosomal RNA is filed under the name uncultured bacterium. RNAcentral describes it as "partial 16S ribosomal RNA". It matches the Rfam family "Bacterial small subunit ribosomal RNA", at positions 338 to 795 of the family's 1533-position model. The record is from RNAcentral.